UUUCCGUAGGUGAACCUGCGGAAGGAUCAUUACUAAAGUCUGGGGGACUCCGGUCCCUGUCUGGACCCUUGUCUUUUGCGUACUAUUUGUUUCCUUGGUGGGCUUUGCCUGCCAAAAGGACACUAUAUAACCCUUUGUAAUUGCAAUCAGCGUCAGAAAAACAUAAUAGUUACAACUUUCAACAACGGAUCUCUUGGUUCUG
RNAcentral lists this unclassified non-coding RNA (202 nucleotides) under plant metagenome. RNAcentral's name for it is "partial contains small subunit ribosomal RNA, internal transcribed spacer 1, and 5.8S ribosomal RNA". The record is from RNAcentral.